GGGGGCGCCACUUCAAGCCUCGUGUGGACAUUCCAACCGAAAGGAAAUGAAAGAAACCACAGCCAGAAAGCAUAAAGCCUCUAACGGUCAGCAAAACGUUCCUGGAGACUCCUAGCAAGCUUCCGCUUCCCUUACUCCGGUUGCUCCACAAAGUAAUCGUUACAAGCGACCGUCAGAGCUGCCACCAUGACCACAAACUCAUUAAAAUCCACUUCGUUGUCCUUGUUAGCGUCCAGGUCCUGCAUUAUCUUAUCCACCAACUGGGGGUCCUUUUGACACUAAAAAGAAAAAGAAAAUUCCUAACUUGGAGGCCUGGAGGGUCGUGACAACUGAACUUCCGUUUGCAUGCAAGCUUUCGUUCUCCUAAAGAGUCUAUUUACAAGAAGACCCAGGCCAGCCUAGAGUCUUAACCCUGCCUCAGCUCCACAGACACCAGCUCAGACCCAAAGGGCCAGGAACGCAGAGAAAACAGCUGCAGAUUCAAGUGAAUUAUGGGUGCUGGAAAUGCAUUUACUGGAGACCACGGGCAGAAGGCCGGGACACUGAGGGACACUACAGUGAAACAGGCAGAGGACCAGGAUACCUGAGGAUAGUUGGGCGACAUAUAAACAGAGGCUUCAACGUCAAAGGGGACAAUGAGUGGCCCUAUCAUCUACCAUCAGCAGGCUUCGGAGCAAUCGUGUAACAUUUAAUUUAUCCCAUGGGAAGAGUCGUCUUUGCCCACGUGGUAUGAAGAUGUGCUAACGCAUUUGAAGGUGCUUAGCACCGAGGUAGCUGGGUACGGCCAGUACAAAUAAGCAGUGGACACCUGAAUAGCUUUGAAUUCCAGAUUAAACAACACGCACUUUUCACUAAGUGGGUCCCAAGUAUUAUAUGGGGUACAAACUAUUUUAUCUCAUAACCGUACUUAGUACAAUGUCUGAAACGCACAAAGAGAAGUAUCCAGGAGCCAAUUUCCUUCCGCUGUGGCUAGGUUCCCCAAGGGUUGACAAUUACAUUGAGGUUUGGUGAGGUUUUAAUCCACCAUUCAAUAUUCUGGUGCAACAAUAACAGAUUCGGCUAGUUAUACACAGAGACGUCUUGAUAAUUAAUACUGGCUAGCUAUACCUGGGAGAAAGGAAAAUGGCUCCUGCCAGUGUAUGCAGGAGACAAGGGGCUCCAGGAUUUACUUCUCCAGCACUUAGGGUCAUGGAGCAAAUUAUGGACAGAAUGUUCAUAACGCCUGUCCCCAAAGCCACCCCCAUCUAACACCUGUCCCCAAAGUCACCCCCAUCUAAUGCCAGUCCCCAAAGCCACCCCCAUCUAACAAUGUCCCCAAAGCCACCCCAUCUAAUACUGUCCCCAAAACCACCCCAUCUAACACUGUCCCCAAAGUCACCCCCAUCUAAUACUGUCCCCAAAACCACCCCAUCUAACGCUGUCCCCAAAGUCACCCCCAUCUAAUACUGUCCCCAAAGCCACCCCAUCUAGUACUGUCCCCAAAGCCACCCCAUCUAGUACUGUCCCCAAAGCCACCCCAUCUAACACUGUCCCCAAAGCCACCCCCAUCUAACAUCUGUCCCCAAAGCCACACCAUCUAUGCACCAGCAGGCAGUGGACUCACUGUGAGGAAUUCUGUGAGCUCUCGCUGUAAGAGCAUCUUCAGCUCCCCCUUGUUGAGCUUGAACCUGUCCCCCUCCUUGCAAGAGUAACGGUGGAAGAUGCGGAUCAUCGUCUCCAUAGCCAUCUCCAGCUGGGUGGGCAUGCUGGCAGUGGAGUGGGCGACUCCUGGAGCAGGAUGCCAAGCCACGGGGAAGGCACUCGGCCAAAGAAAGCAGAUGGGGACACGUCAACUCUUUUGUGAAAACAGAACACACCGGUGACAGUUCUUAAACAGUCAUAAUGGUCCGCUAAAGGCGGUGUCCCGCCCAUUCUAGAGCAAGGUGGUGUAUUUUUCUCCUCCCUACUCCCACUCCUCUGACCUGUGUACCUCCAGCAGUUCAUAGCUUUACGCCAAACUGGCCCAGGGCCGUGUUAGAACACAGGCUUGAAAAAGAAAGAAAUAAAGCAAAAGAAAAGGAAAAUCCUUUACUUCCUACCUGUUCGGCGGGAUGCGGCUGUCUACAGGUGUUCACGGUUACCCUCUGAGCACGGAUCUCUGGGUUUCCACCUGACACCCCUGUCCCCAACAGAUGACAAUUAUCGGAGACAAGAGAGUCAACUGAGGAUGCCUCUGAGUCUGUUUUUAAUCAGCAGAAUGAACAGGUGUGCACUGCUGCCCCCAGGGCCAUGGAGGAAGGGGAGUGUGUGCUGGGUCUUAGGAGGGUGGAGUGGAAAGGGAAAACCCUCUGCUCUGCCCAUGUGGGAAUAUGGGUAGAAAUGCAGCUUGUUGCUAGGAAGCUGAUGGCUAGGAUGGAGUCUAAAAAUAAAGGUUCGAAGAAGAAACACCAGUUCAAACCUAGACACGCCUCGGCAAUGCGCUUGCAAGGACAAGGAAGCAGACUCAACAGACGAGUUACACUGACCCGAUGGAGUGCUCACCGUCAGAAAUAAAAGCAAUAGAAACUGCUUGGGAAAAUGCCCUGUCCUGAAGAAUCCAUGUAGCUGAGAGUGGGGGCUCCUGUGUGCUACCCCAGUUCCUCAAAAUUAGAAGUAGGAAGACCAUGAGUUUGAGUGUGUUCCAGACUGGCACAUGUUAAAGGGAAACCUGGUAUUCAAAGACAUAAAAGAAGAAGAGAAUGAGAGAGAGAGAGAGAGAGCAUGUGUGUGCACGUGUGUAUGUGUGCAUGCACAUGCGUGUUCACGCUCUCAAUCUUGUGUCUGCCAAAUGAGUCACUAAGGACUCAACUAGUACCUAGAGCACAUUAUGGGUAACAAGGCAGAACAAGGCUGAGCAUAUGUCUUCCGGGUUCGUGUGCUUACCACCGACUUUAGGCUUAUGUGUAGGAACGCAUUGCCCCGUGUCUGUGGAGAAAAGCUGUGUAUGUAGGAAUGUAUGGGAGAUCCUCAAGUAAGAAAAACUUUAAGGAGGGGAAUGCGGGGGCAAUGGCUCUCGAGCAUGAGAGCUUGAGUUGGAUCCCUAACACCCCUGGGUGUGGUGGCCAAAAGAACCUUAUCUUGAAGCAAAGCCUACCGUUAUUUUUCCUGGACUGUGUUAGAUGUGAAGAACACUGGCAUCUUCUUUUAGGUUCCGUCCUCUUGCUGAGACUGUCCCCAAGGCUUUGUGGCCAUGUUCCCUCAGCUUUGAAUGCUGUCUUACAGUCCAGCUCUGAAAUAUUGCUCCUGGAGUACUCUUGGACACUUCUAUCAUCUUUGAAUCUUUACCCCAGAUGUCUGCUAACGUCAGGAUGACCUGUAUCCUCCGCCUGGACCUCUUUUUGCUGCCAAGACCCACAGGCUUUUCAAACUUGAUUAGCAUCAGACUACAACACCUACCCUCGUCCCCACUGAUGACUGAAGGCAAAUAUCACCUUCCAGCUACUUGCCUGCAUUCCCCCCAACUCCCUACUCCUCCUGGGGGAACCUCCUCUCUUUUUUAGCAUACUGCUUUGGGGACAUUCCAGUAAUUGCUGCCAUACCUUCUCCACACUUAGAAUGAGUACCUUGAUCCCAGGCUCCGCCAUGCCUGGUCCAUUUUUGUAUUUUACAAUACUUAGCACAAAAUUAGGCACACGGAAUUACCCCCACAAUGGUAGCCACCUGUGUGAAGCUGAGGCAGGAGGAUGGUAAAUCCAAGGAUAUCCUGAGCCACAUGGGAGCAAACAAAUCUUGACCUGAACCUCACCCAGUCACAUUGGCCAUGUGGAAAGCAAGCACAUAAAGUGACUGCGGGCGAGUGGCAGUCACCCAUGCCACAGAUCCGAACCUUAGCUCAUGUCCGUUGUCAGGACCAGCUACCACCAACUAGAAGCUCACCCCUCUUUUGGCCAGAAUGCUUAAAGCAAGGUCUCGGUGGUAGCUAAACUUCAAAAAGAUCCUUGCCUCCUGGUCGUUCUAACUCCGCGUGGUCCUCUUAAGGUAGGUUAAAAGGGAAAAGUUAAAGAGAAGAGGGAAGAAAGAAAAAUCUUCUUCCCAAAGUCUGGCUCAAGUCUCUCAUCAGCUGGGCGUCAAGAUUUCUGGCACAGACCUAGAGAGAUGGCUCAGCUGGUAAAGUGUUUGCUUUGUGAGCAUAAGAACCAAGGAUUCGAUCCCUGGAUGCCACGUUAGAACAAAGAGAAGGAGAAGUGUGUGAAUCCCAGCGUAGUCAACAGCACCUGUGAAAGUUACCUAAGGAGACUUUUCAAGGAGAAAUUUCAAGUAAGAAUGUUAACAAACCAUACUUGCAGUCCGAGAGUAUAUGGUUUGCUCGCCUUCCCCAGCUGUCAGCUUAAAUUUUCAAGGAAUCUCACAAGAAAGCCCACUUAUAAUAAAGCACCCAUCGUAACUCCCUUGAGCAACCCUUGGGCUCAUAGUUUUAGUUUAUCGGAUUACAUUCCUCGGCGCUCUCAGGGUAGCCCUAUAGUCUUACUGGAAAAAGAGGGAAAGAGGAAAAGCAAGUUUCUUAGGAGCCAUCUGAGAUGUGACUUGAGAGCCACCAAACCAUACAUGCCACUGUUACUAUAUAUAUGCUACAUAUACUAACAUAUAUGUUGCUACAUAUGUGCUACUGUUACAAGAAUCCCUCUGAGAGGCUCCCAUCUGCCACUCUUGAAUGUAUCUAGUCCUCUCCCUGAGAGCCUCUUAAAUGCCUUGAAUACAUUUCAGUGCCUUUGUGCCCUCUCGCCCUGAAAUUCUUUCUGGAUGAAGUCACAGAAUUCAGCUGCACCCGAGUGGAGAUCAGUGAAAAGAAUUCCUCAGGUUGCCAUGGGCAGCUCUGGCCAGCAGCUCUCUGCCACUUAGACCCUCAUGCAUAGACUGUGUUCCUGACUCUGAUGGGAAUAGGAAAUACAUCCUGCUUUGCUUCUGCUUGGAUCUCUCCAUCUGGCUGCAGUCAGCUGCUCAUGAGGUUUUGUGGAGAGAUUCCUGAGGCCAAGAACUCAGGUCUGUGAAGAGCAAAGGCGGAGGUAGACCCCCAACCACAGCCUUUUGGGAAACCGGAAACCAGGAUCCCAACUAUACAGCUCCUGAAUUCUCGUUCUUCUGUUCUAUGGCAAUAAAGAACUAAUGCCAUCCAUUGGAUCUUUAGAGUCCUUUAUAAAUGAUUCUUGGAGAAAUGGGGCAAUGUAAAUUGAUACCCUUUUAAGAGAAUUGUGUUUGGAACUAAAGGAUGACUAAUGGGAUUUUCAUGUGGCUUCAGAAAGAACCUGCCAGCCCUUGCAGGAGAGGGCGCUGUGUCCUAAACAAGGGAAGUGAAAAACAGUAUUUAUGUCUGUUGGUGUUUUGUUUUCUGAAGUGUGGUUUCUCUGUGUAGCCCUGGCUGUUCUGGAACUCACUUUGUAGACCAGGCUGGCCUCGUACUCACAGAGAUCCACCUGCCUCAGCCUCCCAAGUGCUAGGCUUAAGGCAUGCGCUACCAUGGCCAGCUUGGAAAAUGAAAAUUUGAAUAAAUGGGUUUUCAGCAAGUCACCUCCUUGGCAUCUACUUUAUUUUACGUGUAGGAGUGAUUUGCCUGUAUAUAUGUGAGUGCAUCAUGUUCCUGCCCGGUGCAGGUACAGGCCAGAAAA
Molecule: long non-coding RNA, 5621 nt
Organism: Rattus norvegicus (Norway rat)
Lineage: Eukaryota; Metazoa; Chordata; Mammalia; Rodentia; Muridae
Source: RefSeq, a predicted model, not a curated record